This 718-nucleotide long non-coding RNA is filed under the name Mus musculus (house mouse). RNAcentral describes it as "long non-coding RNA chr10:126136357-126137075". Lineage: Eukaryota; Metazoa; Chordata; Mammalia; Rodentia; Muridae. The record is from RNAcentral.
UAAAACAGCUAAGAAGUUCUUCAUAAUAGUAAAAAUAAUUGUUAUAUUUACAAUUUUAAGAAAUUAAAAUUUCCUAGGGUUUCUUUCCUAGGGUUCCGACCCUUCCCUUAGUUCUCUGAGAAUUCUUGGGAAGGUUGUAGUAUAAAAUAGGAUUGGAAACAGAACCUUUUGUGGUCCAGAGAGAUCUACCAAAAGGGUCAGACCCUUGUAACAGGCAUCCGUGUUGAUGCAUUCACUGGUUUUGUGUGUCAACUUGACACAAGCUCGAGUCAUCAGAGAGGAAGGAUCCUCAGUUGAGAAAUGUCUCCAUAGUAUCAGGCUAUAGAGCAUUUUAUCAAUUAGUGAUCAGUGGUGGAGCUCCCAGCCCAUUGUGGGUGGAGCCAUCCCUGGGCUGAUGGUCUUGGGUUCAAUAAGAAAGCAGGCUGAGCAAGCCACAGUUAGCAACACCCCUCCAUGGCCUCUGCAUCAACUCCUUCCUACAGGUCCUGUUCUGUUUGAGUUCCUAUCCUGACUUCCUUCCGGUGAUGAACAGCAGUGUGGAAGUGUAAGCCAAAUAAACCCUUUCCUCUCCAAGUUGCUUUUUGGUCAUGGUGUUUCGUUGUAGCAAUAGAAACACAAAGAGAGCUGAUGUGUUCCAAGGGGAGAAUGGAAUGGAGGGGGCAGAGUUGCACCUUGUGAGGGAAACCUGUUAGCCCUGUCAGGCUCCCAUCAUCUCUGC